Molecule: transfer RNA, 68 nt
Filed under: Apistogramma cacatuoides
Lineage: Eukaryota; Metazoa; Chordata; Actinopteri; Cichliformes; Cichlidae
Description: tRNA-Ser
Source: RNAcentral
GAGAGAGGCCAGAUCGCAACAAAGACUGCUAAUCUUUAUUACCCCGGUUAAACUCCGGGGCUCACUCA